This 336-nucleotide unclassified non-coding RNA is filed under the name soil metagenome. RNAcentral describes it as "partial contains 5.8S ribosomal RNA, internal transcribed spacer 2, and large subunit ribosomal RNA". The stretch from base 1 to 119 matches the Rfam family "5.8S ribosomal RNA", at positions 35 to 154 of the family's 154-position model. The record is from RNAcentral.
GAUGAAGACGCAGCGAAAUGCGAUAAGUAAUGUGAAUUGCAGAAUUCAGUGAAUCAUCGAAUCUUUGAACGCACAUUGCGCCCGCCAGUAUUCUGGCGGGCAUGCCUGUUCGAGCGUCAUUUCAACCAUCAAGCCCCCCGGCUUGUGUUGGGGACCUGCGGCUGCCGCAGGCCCUGAAAAGCAGUGGCGGGCUCGCUGUCACACCGAGCGUAGUAGAUCUCAUCUCGCUCAGGGCGUGCUGCGGGUUCCGGCCGUUAAACCACCUUCAUAACCCAAGGUUGACCUCGGAUCAGGUAGGAAGACCCGCUGAACUUAAGCAUAUCAAUAAGCGGAGGA